Molecule: ribosomal RNA, 204 nt
Filed under: uncultured Syntrophaceae bacterium
Lineage: Bacteria; Pseudomonadati; Thermodesulfobacteriota; Syntrophia; Syntrophales; Syntrophaceae
Description: partial 16S ribosomal RNA
Rfam family: Bacterial small subunit ribosomal RNA
Source: RNAcentral
AUGACGUCAAGUCAUCAUGGCCCUUACGACCAGGGCUACACACGUGCUACAAUGGCGCAUACAAAGAGAAGCGACCUCGCGAGAGCAAGCAAAUCUCAAAAAGCCGUCCUCAGUUCGGAUUGGAAUCUGCAACUCGACUCCAUGAAGUUGGAAUCGCUAGUAAUCGCGGAUCAGCAUGCCGCGGUGAAUACGUUCCCGGGCCUU